Molecule: ribosomal RNA, 253 nt
Filed under: uncultured bacterium
Lineage: Bacteria
Description: partial 16S ribosomal RNA
Rfam family: Bacterial small subunit ribosomal RNA
Source: RNAcentral
GACGGAGGAUGCAAGCGUUAUCCGGAAUUAUUGGGCGUAAAGCGUCCGCAGGUGGCAUUUCAAGUCUGCUGUCAAAGCGCAGAGCUUAACUCUGUAACGGCGGUGGAAACUGGAAAGCUAGAGUAUGGUAGGGGUAGAGGGAAUUCCCGGUGUAGCGGUGAAAUGCGUAGAUAUCGGGAAGAACACCAGUGGCGAAAGCGCUCUACUGGGCCAAGACUGACACUGAGGGACGAAAGCUAGGGGAGCGAAAGGG